Long non-coding RNA from Pongo pygmaeus (Bornean orangutan), 2047 nucleotides. RefSeq lists it as uncharacterized. The transcript has 2 exons. Lineage: Eukaryota; Metazoa; Chordata; Mammalia; Primates; Hominidae. The record is from RefSeq and is a predicted model, not a curated record.
CUCGGAAGGAGUCCUGGAUCCGGGUGGGUGCGGGAUUCCUGGUAGCCGACUGGUCGUCUGACCAGGGCAGUGUCCGCAUCUUCCUAAGGCAGCGGUUCCGGCCCUGGGGAGACUGGAGUUGAGACGGCAGGGCCUCCGCUGACCAGUCCUUGGGCUGUCGCACAACGCGGAGCGGGGCGGAGGGGCCGCCCUGCCAGGCCUGCGCUGCCGUGCUUUUGGGCAGCAGCGAACAGUUAGCCUUUGAACCGGAGCCCGGGGUGGAAUACGGCGAGACGGAGGGGCUCACCAGACUCACGCUUCCCGGAGAGGGCGGCGGAGGCGCGCGGCCGCCGAGCGCGAAGCCGGUCCCCCUGCAGCCCCGGGAGUGUCCCAGGCCCAUCCUACGCAGGGCGGAGGCGCCUCCGCAGCCCGACGCUCACGCCGCAACCCUGUGUGGCUUAGGGUUGUAACCUCGUUGGAAAAUAAAAUACAAAAAAUAUUAAAAUUACCUCCCACCGUACAACCCCCGGUGUCUAGGGUUGUAAUUUUAAUUUUUUUCCCAACUUUUACACUGUGAAUAAUUAUCACAAAAGCGAGGUUUUUUUUUUUUUUUGGGAGACAGUCUCGCUCUGUCGCCCAGGCUGGAGUGCAGUGGCGUGAUUCUCCUGCCUCAGCCUCUCGAGUAGCUGGGAUUACGGAUGCCCGCCACCACGCCCAGCUAAUUUUUGUAUUUUUAGUAGAGACGGUGUUUCUCCAUGGUCUCGAACUCCUGACCUCAGGUGAUCUAUCCGCCUCGGCUUCCCAAAGUACUGGGAUUACAGAGUGUUUCCUGAAGAAUACUAGGAAGAAAUGGAAAUCAGUGUUCUGAAGAACGGCACGGACUCUUAGGCAGUUCCAUCAGCAAGAACCUGAGUUUGAAGUGACAACGUGCUGUGGAGAGGCAAGGUUACAAAAUUACAUCGUUUGACUUCUGUGACACCGGCAUUAUUUUCUGGAGUGUGUGUGUGGCUAAGGUCGUAGGUAAUGCUAAUUUUUAAAUUUUUUCCAACUUUUGUACAGUAAGUUAUCAGAAAAAAAAAAUUGAGAGACAGUAUGCCAAUAGACAAUGGUCAGAUAACGAAUGACAAUAAACUGUAGCCUCUGCAGUAACCGGGCAGUCGGCUGCGUGGGAAGGACGUGGUCAGGACUGCUUGCUCCUCUAUUUUUUGUACCACCCUCCCUAUGUCAGAACCAACCCAAGAAAGCGCUCCCCAAACCAGUCACAGAAAACAUCCUGCUUCUUGUUAGCUCACCUCCAGUUUCCAACAGCCUGCGGUCAGAACCACCUGGAGCCUUCCCCGUUUUCCACCCCCUGGGUCCUUGCGCCUACCUACACCGGUGAUGGUGCUGACUCCCUUGCUGUGGCAAGCUCUGAAUACUGUUUCUCAUUUGGGUGGUCUUCCUUCAUUUCUACGUUUGAGUUAUUGUGGCUGAGAACAGAAGGCAUCUGCAAAAAAUGUUUUAUGCUUAAUGAAAAGAGUAGAAUAAAAAUUUCAUAUAUGACAUUAGUUAAACUCUGAAAAAAAAUACAGAAUAAACACCAAAAUACUGAGGAGUAAUCUGUAACACUAGGAAAAAUUGUUUUUCUACUUUUCUGUAUAUUUUUCUCCUUUUGGCAGUAAACCUGUAAUCCUUUAAAAAUUCAUGUAUAUAGUUUUUUUCUUGGAAAUUAUAAGAAUGAUUUGAUGAGUGGUUUGAUGCAACUUAUAUUACUUGGUAAGCAGUUUUAAAAUAUUCACGUUUACUUAUAAAAUUUAAAUUUUUUAUUUGUAUUAUCUAUAUAUUAUUUAAUGUUACUGUUCUGGCUGUUAAACAUUUUGAGUUAUCUUCCCAGGUUGAAUGAUUUAUGGAUGAAAGUACUAUUGUACAUUUUCGUACAUUGUAUCAUGUGAAUAGGCCAGAUUCCUCUUUUCUAUUCUUUGGUUUAAUUUCUUUGGUGUAUUCACAAGCUUAUACUUCCACAUAUUAAAAACAUUUAUCUUACCUCUGUAAAGACAAAAACUGGAAAAAAAAAAGGCAUUUAUCCAAA